Long non-coding RNA from Misgurnus anguillicaudatus (oriental weatherfish), 1150 nucleotides. RefSeq lists it as uncharacterized. The record is from RefSeq and is a predicted model, not a curated record. NCBI's taxonomy places the organism in Eukaryota, Metazoa, Chordata, Actinopteri, Cypriniformes, Cobitidae.
GACGCGAACUGGUUCUUCAUGUUGGAGGGAGGAGUUGUUGCAGUAGGUGAUCGAUGACGUCAAAGUACCGCGAGAGCGAGUUGAGGAAUCACACGUAGAGGUCUAAUUUCGAAUCGCUCUCGCGGUACUUUGACAUCAUCCGUCUGUCGAUUCUUGCAGCGCCGCAUGAAGUCAAACACGCGUAAAAUUGCUGACCUCCGAGCACUCGUCUCUGCUCCUCGACAUAAUGGAGCAGCUGUAUUUGCAAAUACAAACACACGAAACGAGUUUGCACGAACAUAAGUGUGAUCUUGGAAGCAUUCAGAGUAGCAGUCACAUGUAAACAUGGGUCGCACCUUUGACGUAGGUGCGAGCUCUGGCGCAUAGUCUGUGACGUUGCCUGCUUAAACAUCCGUUUGACUCACUUUACAUGCAACCGUGCAACCGAAGAUUUUCAAGAUCUCCACUCUGGCCAGAGUUUUUAGAAACAAUCGGUUUCAGAGGCGAGUUCUCCGUUUGCGUGUAAACGAGGGGUACAAACGAAGAUUGAGGAAUUCUAAGAAGCUGGAGGUCUAACUUUAAAAGAUGAAUGAGGGGAAGAGUUUUAAAUGAUGCCCCAGGUCACUAAAGUCCCGAGGAAAUGCAUUUUAAAGCCUGCUUGGAAGUUUGCUGAGGCCUCCUGGUUGAGAAACACCGCACUACAACUCCUCACAAGGAGACAAACGACUUCCUCUGAGAAAACAGCACAAUUACCGUAAUGAGCUGCAGUGUUGGGGGUAACGCAUAAUACAAGUAACGUGCAUUACGUAAUAAUAUUACUUUUCUGAAGUAACAAGUAAAGUAACGCAUUACUUUAUAAAUGUACACAUUAAUAUUUGAGUUACUUUUUUAAAAAAGUAAUGCAAGUUUAGUUUAAUUAAUUCAAUAUAAAAACAUUAUGUACUGAAUUAAACUAAACAUAGUCACAUUAUGCACUCUAUGCGUACAUGCCUUUGUGGGAACAGUUUGAGAUGGCAGGCCAGAGCUCGACAUUUUUGUGAUGAAAUAUGCAAUUUCUGACUUCUUUUCAGUCAUAAAAACACCUGCAAGGCCUGAAAGAGAUCAAGCCUCAGCCAAGAAAAAGUAAUGUAAAAGUAAUGUAAGCAUUACUUUCCAUAAAAAGUACACUGUA